Non-coding RNA from Punica granatum (pomegranate), 889 nucleotides. NCBI's taxonomy places the organism in Eukaryota, Viridiplantae, Streptophyta, Magnoliopsida, Myrtales, Lythraceae. The record is from RefSeq and is a predicted model, not a curated record.
GAUUUACAAAAAUAGUCAAAAUUCCUCAGAGUUUCAGUAACGCGAGAGAAAUGGAUCAGAAACAAUGUCCUAGAGCCUGAGAUCGAUCUCGAAUUCAUCGGCGAUACGAAUGAUCAUAAUAUGAGGGAAAAGAGGAGGCAGAUCGGUGGGGUGAGACCCCGCCAGCCACUGCAACCCAGAGACCAGAAGCCUUCCACGAGGUCGCCAGAGGGAGCGAUGGCCGAUGGGGUGCCCCCACCGCUGAUUUGCCCCUCCUUCUCUCUUAAAUCAAAAUCGAAGAGGAAGGGGGCAAAUCGGAACCCCCACCCCCAACCCAGCGAACCUCUGCAUCGUUCCAUCUACUGCCACCAAUUUCCCUUUCUUCAUUCGCACAUGCAAGGGUUUCUCAGGCAUAAGAGAGAGGAGCCACAAGAGCCACGGAUGAGCUUUAAUGCCACGAAAUCCCCUCAAGCUCCAUCGAUUUCCUCCUUCCUUCGAACCUCCCUUUUUUUUUUUUUUCCUUUUAGUUUUCCAGGACGUUCGAGAGAGAGAAAGGGGGGGGCUUGCCGGCCAUCGCCCCCCAGGCGAUAGCGCAGGAGGCAUCUAAAGCCUCUGGCGAGGUCUCUUGUGGGGCGGUGAUCGGUGGGGGUGGCCCCACCGCAUAUCUACUCCCUCCAUUGACCAGGGAGCAGAUCGGCGGUGGGAGCACCCCCGUCGGCCAUCGCACCACUCCCUCCCACCACCCCCCCAACCCAACAAGAAAAAACCCGAUUGGUGUCGCGUUUUUCCAAGGUUCUCUAAACGUCCCGCUCAUGGCAGUGUCUACUUUUUCUGUGGGUCGCCUUGUCAAUUACCCAUGCAUGACAAACAUUCUAGCUAGUAAAUUAAAGUUGGAGUUAAUUUGUUUCUA